GCAAAGCAAAAUACACUGUGACUCCCCCACCAACCUGGUCUAAGUAUACCUAUGCAGUGGCACCUUAUGACAUUCUGUGGGCUAUUUCGGUGCCAGUUUCUCUCAGAACAGUCAAGCAUCAACUCGGCUGGAUGAAAUUUCAUUUGGGAAGGUUGGUGGGCCAUUGGACACUUUAGUAGUUGUGGCUGGCCUGUGGUAAGCCUCUGCCAGACUUGAAGUUCCUCAUUGUCACCAAUAUAUACCCAGGUAGAACUGUGGUAGGAAUCUGCGUAAAUCCCACAAUCAUCGUCAUCAGAACACAGGCUGCUGGGACUGCACCUUAACUUCUCCAUACUUGCAUCAGUAGACCUGGUCUGCAACUCGUAGAUCAGGACUUCUUCUUCUCGCUCUGUGACUAGGUGAUAAUGAUUGUUCUAUUCGUCUAAAAAAUAAAAAUAGAUCUUUUAAGAUGCAAAUAAGAUGUAAAUAUAUUACCAUCAGUAAAACUGAAUAUUUGAAUCAAGAAUUACUUUGAAAGUGAAUAUUUCUACUUACUCAAUAUGACUUUACCAUGCUGAGACAGGGUUUAUGAACAGAUUAGUUGUGUUCUCAACUGUUCACUGUUAGUUAUUAAAUAGUUGCACUAUU
This is a long non-coding RNA of Homalodisca vitripennis (glassy-winged sharpshooter), 627 nucleotides long. RefSeq lists it as uncharacterized. The transcript has 3 exons. Lineage: Eukaryota; Metazoa; Arthropoda; Insecta; Hemiptera; Cicadellidae. The record is from RefSeq and is a predicted model, not a curated record.